This 479-nucleotide long non-coding RNA is filed under the name Vigna radiata. Its description in RNAcentral is "long non-coding RNA (VRAD_LNC008013)". The record is from RNAcentral. Lineage: Eukaryota; Viridiplantae; Streptophyta; Magnoliopsida; Fabales; Fabaceae.
GUUAUUCUCAGAGCAAGGGUAUGAUAGUCUAUAAUUUAAUAUCAGUUUGAAGAAAAACUUUGAGAAAAUAUAAAUUAGUUGUACGGUAUCAUACAAGUUAAAAUCCUUUUUCUCAAUGUAUGUAAUAAGUAAAUUGAAUUAGCAGGAAAGGAAAAGAAGAAAAUCAGUGGUAGGCAAAGCAAAGAACAAGAGAGGCGAACCAGCGGAACCAUGGGGAACUCCGUAGGAUUCAAAGGUUGGCCCAGCGUCGUAAAUUGAUCCUUGAUACUCCGUCUUCUUGACAGUGUUAAACUUAUCCUUUAUCUUACCACUCCACCUUCGACCUUGCAGGUGCAUAUUCUCGAACCCCUCACCACUGAACCACCCUUCACGAUCCUCGCUCGCCGAGUACUCCUUCCACCCAUCCGAGAACGGCGACCCGUCCGGAGGUGGCGGCAGGAGGUGGAGGAAGGCGGCGAAGGCCAGGUCAUGGUUGCCGG